AAGUGCUGAAAGCAUCUAAGCAUGAAGCCCCCCUCAAGAUGAGAUUUCCCAACUUCGGUUAUAAGAUCCCUCAAAGAUGAUGAGGUUAAUAGGUUCGAGGUGGAAGCGUAGUGAUACGUGGAGCUGACGAAUACUAAUCGAUCGAAGACUUAAUCAA
RNAcentral lists this ribosomal RNA (157 nucleotides) under Staphylococcus chromogenes. RNAcentral's name for it is "partial 23S ribosomal RNA". It matches the Rfam family "Bacterial large subunit ribosomal RNA", at positions 2766 to 2925 of the family's 2925-position model. The record is from RNAcentral. Lineage: Bacteria; Bacillati; Bacillota; Bacilli; Caryophanales; Staphylococcaceae.